GUUUGAAAAAUUGCAUGAUCCUGACCACACAAUGAAAACCAUAUAAAUAUGAGGCUGGACGAAGACUCAGUAUCAGUUUAUUGUCAACAGAACAAUCAACAGCAUUCAAAAUGAUGAAAUUCUUGAUUCUCGCCUUUGUUGCCUUGAUGGUACUCGUCGCCACAGCCGUUGCUGAACCAGAACCACAACCAUCCGGAAUCAUUGGAGCUCCAAUUUUGGCCGCUGCCCCAGCUGUAGCCGUCGGUGGUCUUGGAUUGGGAUUGGGUGGACAUGGUGCUAUUAUUGGUUAAAAAUAUUUUCCAGCUAAAACUUCCAAACUUGUAGAAACUAGAUAAAUAAAAUUUUGAAAAUG
Aethina tumida (small hive beetle) is the source of this 352-nucleotide long non-coding RNA. RefSeq lists it as uncharacterized. The transcript is spliced from 2 exons. NCBI's taxonomy places the organism in Eukaryota, Metazoa, Arthropoda, Insecta, Coleoptera, Nitidulidae. The record is from RefSeq and is a predicted model, not a curated record.